AGUGAACGCUGGCGGCAGGCCUCACUCAUGCAAGUCGAACGAGUGGCGGACGGGUGAGCAAUUCAUCGGCAUCUCCUCUGUCGUGGGGGAUAACGUAGGGAAACUUAAGCUAAUACCGCAUACGAUUCCAUGAGCCGAUGUCGGAUUAGCUAGUUGGCGGGGUAAAGGCUCACCAAGGCGACGAUCCGUAGCUGGUCUGAGAGGAUGAGCAGCCACACUGGAACUGAGACACGGUCCAGACUCCUACGGGAGGCAGCAGUGGGGAAUAUUGGACAAUGGGCGCAAGCCUGAGCCAGCCAUGCCGCGUGAGUGAAGAAGGCCUUCGGGUUGUAAAGCCCUUUUGUUGGGAAAGCGGUACCCAAAGAGUAAGCACCGGCUAACUUCGUGCCAGCAGCCGCGGUAAUAC
RNAcentral lists this ribosomal RNA (406 nucleotides) under uncultured bacterium. RNAcentral describes it as "partial 16S ribosomal RNA". It matches the Rfam family "Bacterial small subunit ribosomal RNA", at positions 29 to 526 of the family's 1533-position model. The record is from RNAcentral.